GACGAACGCUGGCGGCGUGCUUAACACAUGCAAGUCGAACGGAAAGGCCCUGCUUUUGUGGGGUGCUCGAGUGGCGAACGGGUGAGUAACACGUGAGUAACCUGCCCUUUACUUUGGGAUAACUUCAGGAAACUGGGGCUAAUACCGGAUAGGAGCUCCUGCUGCAUGGUGGGGGUUGGAAAGUUUCGGCGGUUGGGGAUGGACUCGCGGCUUAUCAGCUUGUUGGUGGGGUAGUGGCUUACCAAGGCUUUGACGGGUAGCCGGCCUGAGAGGGUGACCGGCCACAUUGGGACUGAGAUACGGCCCAGACUCGUACGGGAGGCAGCAGUGGGGAAUAUUGCACAAUGGGCGGAAGCCUGAUGCAGCAACGCCGCGUGCGGGAUGACGGCCUUCGGGUUGUAAACCGCUUUCGCCUGUGACGAAGCGUGAGUGACGGUAAUGGGUAAAGAAGCACCGGCUAACUACGUG
This 468-nucleotide ribosomal RNA is filed under the name uncultured bacterium. Its description in RNAcentral is "partial 16S ribosomal RNA". It matches the Rfam family "Bacterial small subunit ribosomal RNA", at positions 28 to 507 of the family's 1533-position model. The record is from RNAcentral.